Molecule: ribosomal RNA, 515 nt
Filed under: uncultured bacterium
Lineage: Bacteria
Description: partial 16S ribosomal RNA
Rfam family: Bacterial small subunit ribosomal RNA
Source: RNAcentral
AACGAACGCUGGCGGCGUGCUUAACACAUGCAAGUCGAACGCGAAAGGGACUUCGGUCCUGAGUAAAGUGGCGCACGGGUGAGUAACGCGUAGAUAACCUGUCUUCACGUCUGGAAUAAUACGCCGAAAGGGGUACUAAUACCGGAUAUUCUUGCUUUUCAUAAGUUUUGCAAGGAAAGGUGGCCUCUGUAUAUGCUACUGCGGGAAGAGGGGUCUGCGUACCAUUAGCUAGUAGGUGGGGUAAUGGCCUACCUAGGCAACGAUGGUUAGCGGGUCUGAGAGGAUGAUCCGCCACACUGGCACUGGAACACGGGCCAGACUCCUACGGGAGGCAGCAGUGAGGAAUAUUGCGCAAUGGGGGAAACCCUGACGCAGCGACGCCGCGUGAGUGAGGAAGGCCUUCGGGUCGUAAAGCUCUGUCAAAGGGAAAGAAGUGCAUGAUGGCUAAUACCUGUCAUGUUUGACGGUACCCUUAAAGGAAGCACCGGCUAACUCCGUGCCAGCCGCCGCAGUAA